GAUGAACGCUAGCUACAGGCUUAACACAUGCAAGUCGAGGGGAAACGACAUCGAAAGCUUGCUUUUGAUGGGCGUCGACCGGCGCACGGGUGAGUAACGCGUAUCCAACUUGCCCAUCACUUGGGGAUAACCUUGCGAAAGUAAGACUAAUACCCAAUGAUAUCUCUAGAAGACAUCUGAAAGAGAUUAAAGAUUUAUCGGUGAUGGAUGGGGAUGCGUCUGAUUAGCUUGUCGGCGGGGUAACGGCCCACCAAGGCAACGAUCAGUAGGGGUUCUGAGAGGAAGGUCCCCCACAUUGGAACUGCGACACGGUCCAAACUCCUACGGGAGGCAGCAGUGAGGAAUAUUGAUCAAUGGGCGAGAGCCUGAACCAGCCAAGUAGCGUGCAGGAAGACGGCCCUAUGGGUUGUAAACUGCUUUUAUAAGGGAAUAAAGUGAGAGUCGUGACUCUUUUUGUAUGUGCCUUAUGAAUAAGGACCGGCUAAUUCCGUG
This 492-nucleotide ribosomal RNA is filed under the name uncultured bacterium. Its description in RNAcentral is "partial 16S ribosomal RNA". It matches the Rfam family "Bacterial small subunit ribosomal RNA", at positions 28 to 507 of the family's 1533-position model. The record is from RNAcentral.